Molecule: RNA transcript, 2344 nt
Organism: Cephus cinctus (wheat stem sawfly)
Lineage: Eukaryota; Metazoa; Arthropoda; Insecta; Hymenoptera; Cephidae
Exons: 4
Source: RefSeq, a predicted model, not a curated record
GAGUACCGCCAAGUAGUACUCGAUAAGGAACCAUCUAAAGUUUUAAUAAUUAUUAAAUGACCAUUAAAUCAUAAUUAAAUACGAGAAGCAGUAACAAUGUAAAAUAGUAGCGAAAAUGUUAUAGGAAAUUUUGAAAAUACAAUUAAAAUGAUGGGCCGGUGCUAGAUCAUAUAAUAGGCAAACAUGCAGUGGUUUAUGUACUUGGCCAUAAUAAUAUGAUUUCAAUACUUUUCGUUAAAGAACAUCACAGCACUCCUGUACCUGGCGUAGUUUUUUACACGUAAGAGUUUUUUUGGGGGUAUGUUUUACCCACAGACUACUAGACCGCUAGCUUCCAGUAUCCUGCCAUUGAGAAAAGUGAGGCAAAUUUUUUGAAGUGGUGGGGACUGGCCGCCAUCUUUUGUAGGGCGGAUUUGUGAGUGGGUUAGUAUAUCGGUGUGACACCCGACAUUAUUCAGUGGGGUAAUUUCGUCGCAUUGGCAUUUUAAUGCUAUUUUAGAAAUGUUACCGCAAAUUGGAUAAAAAAUGCCGAUGUCAUGCAGCGUGAAAGAUUGCAAAAGUCGCUACAAAGCAGGUCCUUCAUUCGUUUUUUUGGCUUUCCAUUCAAAGAUAGUCAUUGACUUGAGUGCUGUAUCAAAGCUGUUGGAAGAGAGAAUUGGAAAGCUAUUCCAACAAGCAAAAUUUGCAGCUUGCAUUUCCUGAGUACUGACUUUCUUACUGAAUUGGGCUACCAUAAUACUCAGUUGUGAUCAAAUGCAGUUCCAACACUACUUCUUAAUAAUAGUCAUAACAAGGAAAAUAUGCAGCUACUAAACGUAAUGAGUACACAAGAUAGAACAGAAGAAAAUAGAACUGGAGAUGUACAAUUGACAGGAUCUUCCAAUAAGCAAGUUUUUGCAGAGAAAUGUAGGAAUACUUCUGUAAUUGCAGCAGAGAAACGUUUACCAGAGAAUGGCACCAGUGUUAAUGCCACUUGCUUCAAGUUCUAUGAGAAGUGUUGAGCUGAAACAACAGUGCGAAAGUCCUCCAGUAAAUCUAACAACCUCUACAAAGCGAGCUCGUGACGAAGAAGGAGCAGAUGCUUCUGCAGUUCAUAAGAAAAGAAAAGUAAUGUUCCCUGAUGGAACCUGUGUUAUGAUGCCACUUCAAUCAAGUUCCAGUGAAACCUCCUCUGAAGAAAAUACUGCAGCAGAGACUAAAAUUAAACAAUUAACAGAGAAUAAUAAAGAACUGGCACGUAAAGUAAAAAGUUUGAAGCAAGUUGUAAGAAGACGCGACUGGAAAAUAAAGAAUAUGACGGAAUUAUUUGAAACGUUGAAGCAAAAAAACUUAAUUGAUGAUGAUCUUUUAAUAAUGCUGAACAAUCAAUUCAAUGGAACUCCCCUGGCAAUAUUUACAAACGAAGUAAGAAACGAAAACCGGAAGACGUUACAAGAAUGAACUAACAGAGUUUGCUCUUUCCUUGUACUAUAAUUCUCCAAAAGCUUACAGUUUUUGUCGGAACAUUUUAAAGCUACCUCAUUCCUCCUCAAUCAGAAAUUGGAUGUCCAUUAAUGCGGAACCUGGAUUUCAAGGCGAUAUUUUCACUGAGUUUAAUAAACUUCUCUUGCAAGAUCGUGAUUGCAACCUCGUCCUAGAUGGAAUGGCUAUAAGGAAACAAUUGAUAUGGGAUCAGCAAAAGUACUGUUACGUAGGGUAUUGCGAUUACGGUAAUUCAGUUCGUUUGGAAGGCGCGGAAACCGAGUUACGUGACAAAACUGGACGUCUCUCGUGCACAAGCCCAAAAAGAGCCUUCAUAUAUGGAUUUGUUGUUACCUCAAAAUCUAUAAUUGCAGUAGCAGAAAUACUGUUUAACGGAAAUUCAAUGUAUAAGUACAUACUUACAAGUUCUCUCAGGAUCAUAUAGAACUAUUAUUCGCUAGAAUCAGGGGCAGAUUUGGUUGGAAUAACAAUCCGAAUGUGAUGCAAUUCAAGUACGCGAUGAAACAAAUCUUAAUGAAGAAUAGUCUUACAGCAUUGAAAUCAGGAAAUUGCAUCCCAUUAGACAGUGAUCCAAUCGGAUCUAUCUUCUCAUUGCAAUGGAAAAAGAAAGAUAAAGAAAUCUAUUUCCGGAGUGAAUCAGAAAAAUUCAAAGUUUUGGAAAGCAGUUUGGAAGAAGUCAGAAAACUGAAUAACAGUGGUCUAUGUCAGCUACACGGAGACUUAAAGGACAAUAUCCUGUAUUAUACAGGGUGAAUCACGAAUCAUGAUCAGUAGAGAUUACUUUGUUAUUAGCAGUCCGAUCGAAAAUCUUUUUAUCAGCUUUUGCAUGGUUUCAAGAGAGCUUUAACGUGAUAGUGAAAAA